Long non-coding RNA from Salvelinus sp. IW2-2015, 352 nucleotides. RefSeq lists it as uncharacterized. Lineage: Eukaryota; Metazoa; Chordata; Actinopteri; Salmoniformes; Salmonidae. The record is from RefSeq and is a predicted model, not a curated record.
AGGAAGAGGCGGUAAAAAUAGUGAGAGAAAGACAGAGGGAGAGAAAGAAAGAGAAGCAGAGAAAAGAGGGGACAGGGCAUGACUGACUGGAUGGAGGGAAGGUUUCAGGAGGAAAACAGGGGGAGACAAACUGUAUGGGGAGGAGGAUAGGAGAAGAGGAGGAGAGGAGAAGAGAAGAAGAAAGAGUGUCGCCCGUCUUCCCCACUUUUCCUCUUGGUAUUUAUACCUGUGUUUCUGUCUGUCUGUGCCAGUUCGUCUUGUUUGUCAAACUUACCAGCGUUUACCCUCUCAGCUCCUGUCUUUUCCCAGUCUCUCUUUUUCUUAUCCUCCUGGUUUUUGACCCUUCCCUGUC